GAUGCUAUUUUAUUAAUGGAAGAGCAGAAGAUUGACUGUGACGUCAUAGCACUGAUGGAUGACGCAACUUUGGCAAACUACAUUCCCUCGUAUGGAGACCGAAUUGCCCUCUUCAAUUUCUGCAAAAGCAAGCAACCACUGUCAAAA
Oreochromis niloticus (Nile tilapia) is the source of this 147-nucleotide long non-coding RNA. RefSeq lists it as uncharacterized. NCBI's taxonomy places the organism in Eukaryota, Metazoa, Chordata, Actinopteri, Cichliformes, Cichlidae. The transcript is spliced from 2 exons. The record is from RefSeq and is a predicted model, not a curated record.